GACGAACGCUGGCGGCGUGCUUAACACAUGCAAGUCGAACGGAAAGGCCCUGCUUUUGUGGGGUGCUCGAGUGGCGAACGGGUGAGUAACACGUGAGUAACCUGCCCUUGACUUUGGGAUAACUUCAGGAAACUGGGGCUAAUACCGGAUAGGAGCUCCUGCUGCAUGGUGGGGGUUGGAAAGUUUCGGCGGUUGGGGAUGGACUCGCGGCUUAUCAGCUUGUUGGUGGGGUAGUGGCUUACCAAGGCUUUGACGGGUAGCCGGCCUGAGAGGGUGACCGGCAACAGUGGGACUGAGAUACGGCCCAGACUCCUACGGGAGGCAGCAGUGGGGAAUAUUGCACAAUGGGCGGAAGCCUAAUGCAGCAACGCCGCGGGCGGGAUAACGGCCUUCGGGUUGGAAACCGCUUUCGCCUGUGACGAAGCGUGAGUGACGGUAAUGGGUAAAGAAGCACCGGCUAACUACGUG
Molecule: ribosomal RNA, 468 nt
Filed under: uncultured bacterium
Lineage: Bacteria
Description: partial 16S ribosomal RNA
Rfam family: Bacterial small subunit ribosomal RNA
Source: RNAcentral